CCUACGGGUGGCAGCAGUGGGGAAUAUUGCACAAUGGGGGGAACCCUGAUGCAGCGACGCCGCGUGGGGGAGGAAGUACUUCGGUAUGUUAAGCCCCAUCAGUAGGGAAGAAAAUGACGGUACCUGACUAAGAAGCCCCGGCUCACUACGUGCCAGCCGCCGCGGUAAUACGUAGGGGGCAAGCGUGAUCCGGAUUUACUGGGUGUAAAGGGAGCGUUGACGGCGUGCCAAGUCUGGUGGGAAAGGCCGGGGCUCAACCCCGGGACUGCAUUUGAAACUGGCCUGCUGGAGUGCCGGAGGGGCAAGCGGAAUUCCUAGUGUAGCGGUGAAAUGCUUAGAUAUUAGGAGGAACACCGAUGGCGAAGGCAGCUUGCUGGAGCGUAACUGACGUUGAGGCUCGAAAGCGUGGGUAGCAAACAGGAUUAGAUACCCCUGUAGUC
RNAcentral lists this ribosomal RNA (440 nucleotides) under uncultured bacterium. RNAcentral's name for it is "partial 16S ribosomal RNA". It matches the Rfam family "Bacterial small subunit ribosomal RNA", at positions 338 to 795 of the family's 1533-position model. The record is from RNAcentral.